GACGAACGCUGGCGGCGUGCUUAACACAUGCAAGUCGAACGGAAAGGCCCUGCUUUUGUGGGGUGCUCGAGUGGCGAACGGGUGCGUAACACGUGAGUAACCUGCCCUUGACUUUGGGAUAACUUCAGGAAACUGGGGCUACUACCGGAUAGGAGCUCCUGCUGCAUGGUGGGGGUUGGAAAGUUUCGGCGGUUGGGGAUGGACUCGCGGCUUAUCAGCUUGUUGGUGGGGUAGUGGCUUACCAAGGCUUUGACGGGUAGCCGGCCUGAGAGGGUGACCGGCCACAAUGGGACUGAGAUACGGCGCAGACUCCUACGGGAGGCAGCAGUGGGGAAUAUUGCACAAUGGGCGGAAGCCUGAUGCAGCAACGCCGCGUGCGGGAUGACGGCCUUCGGGGUGUAAACCGCUUUCGCCUGUGACGAAGCGUGAGUGACGGUAAUGGGUAAAGAAGCACCGGCUAACUACGUG
This 468-nucleotide ribosomal RNA is filed under the name uncultured bacterium. RNAcentral describes it as "partial 16S ribosomal RNA". It matches the Rfam family "Bacterial small subunit ribosomal RNA", at positions 28 to 507 of the family's 1533-position model. The record is from RNAcentral.